UUAGAACCCAAUCUACCGUACUGCUGGUUAAAAUCAUUCGACUGAAAAUUAAUUCACCAAUGUUAUUAUUUUUACUGUUACUUAAAAAAUAAAUGUGAUAAAAACCCAUAGGAAGUUACAACUGUGUCGGGGACUCCAUUUUUUGUAUACCAAUCGUAAAAGUAAAUAAACACACUGAUUAAUUGACGGUUGAGUAGUUUUAAAAGUAUAAGGAAAAUGUCAAGUUAAGUCGGGUCAGAAUAUCAAUUGUUGUUAAGAAACCGUUUAAUAAAAAAAGUAUAAGCAAUACACUAUGCGGUUGCAAUCCAUAUACACAUGUACAUAAUAAAUGCCGUCGCAAGUUUAAUAUUUCACCAUUCUUAACUGAAAGAAAGGAAUGGCUAUAUUUCCGCGUUAGCUGACUUCCGUACCAAUGCUUGAUAUUUUUUUAAUUCAUUAUUGUAUUUGAAUGAUAACCCUAUAUAUACCAAAUUAUUAGAGCAAAUGCAGUUACUUAUAGUUUAAAACACGC
Molecule: long non-coding RNA, 511 nt
Filed under: Mytilus galloprovincialis (Mediterranean mussel)
Lineage: Eukaryota; Metazoa; Mollusca; Bivalvia; Mytilida; Mytilidae
Source: RNAcentral